Molecule: ribosomal RNA, 2051 nt
Filed under: Candidatus Thermofonsia bacterium
Lineage: Bacteria; Bacillati; Chloroflexota; Candidatus Thermofontia
Description: bacterial LSU rRNA
Rfam family: Bacterial large subunit ribosomal RNA
Source: RNAcentral
AGAGAAGCGCAAAAGAGCGCACGGGGGAUGCCUAGGCAUCGUGUGCCGAGGAAGGACGUGGUACACUGCGAAAAGCUGCGAUGAGGUGUGUGCAACCGCGAGGAGUCGCAGAUGUCCGAAUGGGGAAACCCGCUGCAGGUGUAUACUGCAGCGACCUGUAAAAAGGUCGGGAACCGCGCGAACUGAAACAUCUCAGUAGCGUGAGGAAAAGAAAAGAUUCCGCGAGUAGUGGCGAGCGAAAGCGGAGGAGCCCGUCGUGGAAGCGUUAGCAAGUGAGCGGAACAGUCUGGGAAGACUGGCGGAAGAGGUGAAAGCCCUGUACGCGAAGCGUGCUAAAGCGGAAGCGUCCAAGUGAGUACAACCGGGCACGCUAACCCGGUUGGAAGAGAGGCGGCCCACCGUCUAAGGCUAAAUACACACGAUGACCGAUAGCGAAGUAGUACCGUGAGGGAAAGGUGAAAAGAACCCCGGUGAGGGGAGUGAAAGAGAACCUGAAACCGUGCGCUUACAAGCGGUCAGAGCGCGGAAGCGUGAUGGCGUGCCUUUUGGAGAAUGAGCCACCGAGUUAAUGGCUGUGGCGAGCUUAAGGGGGAAGACACCCGUAGGCGUAGCGAAAGCGAGUCUGAAAAGGGCGAGAGUGGCAGUCAUUAGACACGAAACCUAGUGAGCUACCCAUGGUCAGGUUGAAGCGAAGUUAACCCUUCGUGGAGGACCGCACCGGUAUCUGUUGCAAAAGGUUCGGAGGAACUGUGGGUAGAGGUGAAAUGCCAAACGAACUAGGAGAUAGCUUGUUCUCUCCGAAAUAGCUUUAGGGCUAGCGUGAGGCGAAGUUCUGAGGAGGUAGAGCACUGAAUGGGCUAGGGGCCGCAAGGUUACCAAACCCAAUCAAACUCCGAAUGCCUGAGAAGAAGCCGAGCAGUCGGACGACGUGAGAUGAGUUUCGUCGUCGAGAGGGAAACAACCCAGACCCGCCGCUAAGGUCCCGAAGAGGCAGUUAAGUGGGAAACGAGGUGUACGCGCGUAGACAGCCAGGAGGUUGGCUUAGAAGCAGCCACCCUUUAAAGAGUGCGUAAUAGCUCACUGGUCAAGUGCGUAUGCGCGGAAAAUGUAACGGGGCUCAAAUUGCCCACCGAAGCGCGGGGUGCGCGAGCACGGUAGGAGAGCGUCGUGAGAGCGGAGAAGCUAUACUGGAAGGUAUAGUGGAGCGAAGACGAGCGAGAAUGGUGGCAUGAGUAACGAGAAACAGGUGAGAACCCUGUUCGCCGGAAGUCUAAGGUUUCCGACGGAAGGUCAGUCCGCGUCGGGUGAGUCGGGCCUAAGCCGAGGCCGGAAGGCGUAGGUGAUGGACAACGGGUGAAGAUUCCCGUACCGGUAGAUGGAGCCAAUGGGUGACGGGAUGAGGAAUCCCCAAGAAAAGCCCAGUAACGAAGAAGUCUGCCGCCCGUACCGCAAACCGACACCGGUAGACGAGGUGAGUAACCACAGGCGAACGAGAGAACCCUUGUUAAGGAACUCGGCAAAAAGGCUCCGUAACUUCGGGAAAAGGAGCACCAGCGCGAGCUGGUCGCAGUGAAGAGGCCCUGGCGACUGUUUAACAAAAACACAGGUCUCUGCGAAACCGCAAGGUGAAGUAUAGGGGCUGACGCCUGCCCAGUGUCGGAAGGUUAAGAGGAGGGGUAAGCGCAAGCGAAGCUCCGAAUUGAAGCCCCGAUGAACGGCGGCGGUAACUAUAACCGUCCUAAGGUAGCGAAAUUCCUUGUCGGGUAAGUUCCGACCCGCACGAAAGGUGUAACGAUCAGGGCACUGUCUCAACAAGGGACUCGGUGAAAUUGAAGUAUGGGUAAAGAUGCCCAUUACCCGCAGUUGGACAAAAAGACCCCGUGGAGCUUUACUGUAGCUUGCUAUUGCGUUAGGGCAAGGUCUGUGUAGGAUAGCUGGGAGACUGUGAAGCUGGCUCGCCAGAGUCGGUGGAGUCGCCGGUGAAAUACCAGCCUGACGUUGCUUUGACCCUAACUUAGUGUGUGGAACGCUGAGGACAGUGGCAGGUGGGC